GGCGGAGUAGCUCAGUAGGUAGAGCGCCCCAUUGAACCUAUGGAGGUCGUGGGUUCGAAUCCCACCUCCGCCA
RNAcentral lists this transfer RNA (73 nucleotides) under Candidatus Bathyarchaeota archaeon. RNAcentral's name for it is "tRNA-Phe". It matches the Rfam family "tRNA". From Rfam's summary of the family: Transfer RNA (tRNA) molecules are approximately 80 nucleotides in length. Their secondary structure includes four short double-helical elements and three loops (D, anti-codon, and T loops). The record is from RNAcentral. Lineage: Archaea; Thermoproteati; Candidatus Bathyarchaeota.